GAUCUCACCAGAGAGCCUCUUCACACUUGUUUCAAGUCCUGAAAGAGAAAAAAAGUAGCAUCAAAAGAGCUUCCCUGUCCCUAGGUCUGCCCAAAGAAAUGCCUUGGGAAAACCAAAAACCCAAAAAAGCCAACAAACAAACAAACAAAAAACCUAAACACAACAAAACAAAACAAAAAGAGAGAGAGAGAGAAUGCAGUUAAGGCAGAAGAUUCUACACUCAUAACCCUAAUGGACCUGAUCAGUAUAGCUAUGUCAUGUUUCUGUAGAAGUCCUAAGCAUCUGAGAUGACAAGGAGACACACAAAAUUCUUGGACCAAUCCCUGUUAUCAAUGGCAAGUUUUCUGUGGUGAAAGGUGAAGAGGAACAAAAGAAUAAAAAGUCUUAAGCGAGCACAUUUGAAAUGAGCGAUGACUGUGUCCAGGCCACAUAAACAGGAAAACAAAGCCUGCUACAGAAUGACCCAUUAAAGGAGCUCAAUUUCUAGGUCACUGGAGAGAGAGACACACGACGCAAACAGGGGAAGUGCACAGAGAGGGAGACACAGAAUUCAAAGUAGGCUCCAGGCUCUGAGCUGUCAGCACACAGCCCUACACAGGGCUUGAACUCAUGGACCGCGAGAUCAUGACCUGAGCUGAAGUCCAAUGCUUAACCAACUGAGCCACCCAAGUGCCCCUCUAGGUAUAAGAUUCUUAAUUUAAAAAGUAACUGCAUAAAUCUCGUGAUGCUAGGAAAUACUUGGUUACACUGAAGCUAUAUUUAGCCCUGAAAAGAAAUUCAGUGUUCUCUCUUGGUUAAAUUUUGAAGAAUCACUCAUUAGACCUAAUUGUUCUUCCAGAACGUCUGGCUGUUAGAGGUAAUUUAGUAGGACACUAAAUAAAAUAUACUCACAGA
Neofelis nebulosa (Clouded leopard) is the source of this 894-nucleotide long non-coding RNA. RefSeq lists it as uncharacterized. The record is from RefSeq and is a predicted model, not a curated record. The transcript is spliced from 2 exons. Lineage: Eukaryota; Metazoa; Chordata; Mammalia; Carnivora; Felidae.